RNAcentral lists this long non-coding RNA (1347 nucleotides) under Lactuca sativa (garden lettuce). RNAcentral's name for it is "long non-coding RNA (LSAT_LNC003449)". The record is from RNAcentral. Lineage: Eukaryota; Viridiplantae; Streptophyta; Magnoliopsida; Asterales; Asteraceae.
UAACAUACGUCGAUGUCGUCGACUCCGUCUCCCAAACUGUCCCAAUUCCUAAAAUUCUCCUGAACGCGUUCUUGAACAUGGAAGAAUCAGCAAUCCCGUGAGUUGAAUCAGAAGAGUGUUUUGAGAAAGUAGGGUGUCAAGUCAAGGGUCUGUUGAAUUGGGCGAUGGCGGGCGAUGCAAUUGUUGUUGAUGCAGGAACGAAAUCGACGAAGAGGAAAAGUGUUGAGUUGGUGAUGAGUAAAGAAGAAAUAAGGCUCGUAUUGGGGUUUUACGCCGUAAUUUGAUACCUUGUUCAACAGAGCAGUCUUCCCUUUUUAAAACUAGUGUGAUCUAACCUUAAUACAGAUGGUAAUUGUUGGAUCCAUGCCUCGCCAAUUUCAUGAAAUUAAUCCAGCAGUCAGGUAAAUAAUUAAAUAUUUAAAACGAAUAUAUAUAAUCAGACUUCGUUGCUAAUUUUAAGAACUGGAGCUGGGUAAAUCCAAAAUUCAUUCUCCUGUGCAUUUCAAGCUUCUUGAUUUAUUGUAUUUCAUUUUCAUAUUUUUCUUACACAUGAGUGCUGUUCAUGUCCUACAAUUACAAAUGGAUCAUGUAUGUUGCUCAUUUUAGUGAACAACUCCAAAAUUAAACACGCGUGAUACACUAGAUUCUUUGGUUAUCUUUUAAAUAAUUAGAUAGCCUAUAUACAUUAUUGUUUCUUUUGUUUAAGUUCUGUUGUUUGAAUCUAAAAACGACAACGAACAUGAGAAACAAAAUGGAGUGAAAUUAACCUUUGAAUAUACAUUACUCUUGUUUUAAGUUUACUUUGAAUAUACUAAAGCAGAAAAUAACAACUUACUGUAUUUUUAUACCAAUAUAGGCAACUUACUUGCAUCUUUUUAUAUGGGUAAAAGUAAAGUUCAUGUUUAAUGUUCUUUUUCAAUAAUCGAUGCUAAAUGCUUGUGUUCUUGAUAGGGCUUGGGCAAAUUCAAUAAGCACCAAAUGUGAAACAAAUGAGAACCCCAUGCCCUCUAACCUCUUUUUCAGACUAUAUAAUGUUGUUUAACAUUAGCAUUUAUUUUUUAAAACAACAUGUCAUACACAAAAAAGGAAAUCCAAGGGUUAAACUUGGCUGCAUGAAAUAUCUGUUGAGGGGAGAUUGUCUUUGGUGUGGCAAUUGUUGUAUAUAAUAUGGCCAAAGUUGAAGCUGUUAUAGAGAGACUAGAGGAUCAAAGAAGGACCGAGACAAGAAACCUUGUUAAGGAUCUUUAGUUGAUAUAUGAUUAGCUUAGAAUUAUUAGAGUUUAGAUGUUGAUGUAACUCUGAGUUAUAAUUAUGUUCUUUGUUGUAAAACUUUAUUAUUGUUUCAUU